GUCCAGACUCCUACGGGAGGCAGCAGUGGGGAAUAUUGCACAAUGGGGGAAACCCUGAUGCAGCGACGCCGCGUGAGUGAAGAAGUAUCUCGGUACGUAAAGCUCUAUCAGCAGGGAAGAAAAUGACGGUACCUGACUAAGAAGCCCCGGCUAACUACGUGCCAGCAGCCGCGGUAAUACGUAGGGGGCAAGCGUUAUCCGGAUUUACUGGGUGUAAAGGGAGCGUAGACGGCAGCACAAGUCUGGAGUGAAAGCCCGGGGCUUAACCCCGGAACUGCUUUGGAAACUGUGCGGCUGGAGUGCAGGAGGGGUAAGCGGAAUUCCUAGUGUAGCGGUGAAAUGCGUAGAUAUUAGGAGGAACACCGGUGGCGAAGGCGGCUUACUGGACUGUAACUGACGUUGAGGCUCGAAAGCGUGGGGAGCAAACAGGAUUAGAUACCCCUGUA
Molecule: ribosomal RNA, 446 nt
Filed under: uncultured bacterium
Lineage: Bacteria
Description: bacterial SSU rRNA
Rfam family: Bacterial small subunit ribosomal RNA
Source: RNAcentral